UUUGCCCUGUCAAAGCAGCCUUGUUAGUGUGGCCAUAGCUUCAUGGCCCUGGUCAACAGCAGUGUGCAGAUGCAGUGAGGAUGGGUGCAGGCAGCUUUGGACCAUUAGCUCCUGGCAGCUCACUGCUUCUUCCCUGGAAGGUGUUUGUGCUCCUCAGAAGAUUUCUCUGAAGAAACUAGUUGUAUAUCAGCUGCAUUGCCUUGACAGAGCUCUCUCUGGAUCAAGAUGCUGAAGUGCUAAUAGCAAUAAUCAUCCCAUGAACUGCACGGUACACAGGAUUCUUAGUGGUACUCCUAUAGACUCCUGCUGAUUAUGGCUACAAACUACUCAAAUAAAGAUCAUUGUAUUGGCUUUAUCCUCAAAAACACUUUUCUGGCUUCUGAAGGGAUGCACACACUCAAAGCAAACAGCAGGAAGAUAUAUUCAGCUGCAACGGUCUAAGUGUUUUGAGCAGCUAUUUGAAAUCUUUGAUUGAAGUCUUUGAUUAGAGCAACUGUCCCAUCAAGAAUAUUCUUGAGGAUUUCUG
RNAcentral lists this long non-coding RNA (526 nucleotides) under Numida meleagris (helmeted guineafowl). RNAcentral describes it as "lncRNA (ENSNMEG00000004787.1)". Lineage: Eukaryota; Metazoa; Chordata; Aves; Galliformes; Numididae. The record is from RNAcentral.